Molecule: long non-coding RNA, 1113 nt
Filed under: Lathyrus oleraceus (garden pea)
Lineage: Eukaryota; Viridiplantae; Streptophyta; Magnoliopsida; Fabales; Fabaceae
Description: Pisum sativum (pea) long non-coding RNA (PSAT_LNC036813)
Source: RNAcentral
AGCGCUUAAGAAACUGCAAAACAACAAAAUAAAUCAUUCAGUUUGAAGCUUUACCCAGAAAAUUAACCUAAACAUCCAAAAAGCAUGUCAAAGUUAAUCUAAAACAGGAACAGAUCAAAUCCCACAUAAUCUGGGAUGAGACAAAUUGAAAAAAAAAAGAGUUUUUUAAACUGAUAAAAAAUUCUUCAUAAGAGGUUCAUGAAAGAACAACAUCAUAUGCACAGUAAGAGAUUUCUUCUCAAAAAGUCAAAACCACAACAACAACAAAAAAACCAACUUUUUCUAUAAAAAAAGCCUAAAGAACAACAGCAUAUGCACAACAAGAAAUUUCUUCUAAAAACCUAGAACACACAUCAAGAAUAACAUAGCAAUAUUUCAUAAAAAGAACCCUUUUCCAGCACCGUUACUCUGCAGAAAUAGAAGCAAAAACAUCACUAAAGCUCUAAUCUUUCUUUUGAAGUUUGUUGAAAUUUCAUACUGAAACUCAACAAACUUGAGCUAAGCUGUGACUUACCCCAAAACCAUUACCCUAGCAGAGAUAACAUCAAGGGAACUGAUGACAACUAGAAACAGGAAAGGAGUGGAUAAAAGAGAUUUAGAGGACAGAGAGAGAGAGAGAGAGACGACACACCUUGAAGUCGAAUUUCUUCAAAGGUACUCUUGCCAGAAAUUUCAUCUUUGGUCGAGUCUUUACUCAUUGUUUUCUGUUGUUGUUGAUUUCUUGUUUUAUUAACAAUAUCGUACACUUGCUCAUUUAUUUCCCCAUUUCAUUGGCUUGUUUGUGGAUCGGUUAGGAGAAGGUUCUUUGUGUUAGAAUGCAUAAUUCUUUUUCCGAUCUGUUAGAUUUGUGGUUAUCUUUUGUCGUUUUGAGGGUAGAUGCGGAUCUGAUGUGUGUAUUUUGAAGAGAGUUUUUGGUUCUCAUGAUGAAAGGAGAGAAGGGAAAGGUAUUGGAAGGCAUAAUUUUUUUUGAUAUGGAGGUGGGAAAGAAAGCUCAGUCGAGCUUGAUUGAGAGAGGAGAUAAAAAGAUAAAAGAUAUGAUCGUUAAAGUCAUAUUCAUGAUUAGAUUUAAAUGUUUAUUAAAAUCAAUGAAAUUCUCCUUUUCCUCACUGGCAU